This 434-nucleotide ribosomal RNA is filed under the name uncultured bacterium. RNAcentral describes it as "partial 16S ribosomal RNA". It matches the Rfam family "Bacterial small subunit ribosomal RNA", at positions 29 to 507 of the family's 1533-position model. The record is from RNAcentral.
AGCGAACGCUGGCGGCAGGCCUAACACAUGCAAGUCGAACGGACCUUUCGGGGUUAGUGGCGGACGGGUGAGUAACACGUGGGAACGUGCCUUUAGGUUCGGAAUAGCUCCUGGAAACGGGUGUUAAUGCCGAAUGUGCCCUUCGGGGGAAAGAUUUAUCGCCUUUAGAUCGGCCCGCGUCUGAUUAGCUAGUUGGUUGGGGUAACGGCACACCAAGGCGACGAUCAGUAGCUGGUCGGUGAGGAUGGCAAGCCACAUUGGGAAUGAGACACGGACCAAACUCCUACGGGAGGCAGCAGAGGGGAAUAUUGCGCAAGGGGCGAAAGCCUGACGAAGCCAUGCCGCGUGAAUGAUGAAGGUCUUAGGAUUGUAAAAUUCUUUCAGCGGGGACGAUAAUGACGGUACCCGGAGAAGAAGCCCCGGCUAACUUCGUG